UUGCUCUCUGAUGGCGAGUGGCGAACGGGUGAGUAAUAUAUCGGAACGUGCCUAGUAGUGGGGAACAACCAGCCGAAAGGUUGGCUAAUACCGCAUACGACCUACGGGUGAAAGCAGGGGAUCUUCGGACCUUGCGCUAUUAGAGCGGCCGAUAUCUGAUUAGGUAGUUGGUGGGGUAAAGGCCUACCAAGCCGACGAUCAGUAGCUGGUCUGAGAGGACGAUCAGCCACACUGGAACUGAGACACGGUCCAGACUCCUACGGGAGGCAGCAGUGGGGAAUUUUGGACAAUGGGGGAAACCCUGAUCCAGCCAUUCCGCGUGAGUGAAGAAGGCCUUCGGGUUGUAAAGCUCUUUCGCAAGGGAAGAAAUUUUAUUGUCGAAUAAACAGUAAAGAUGACGGUACCUUGAGAAGAAGCACCGGCUAACUACGUGCCAGCAGCCGCGGUAAUACGUAGGGUGCGAGCGUUAAUCGGAAUUACUGGGCGUAAAGCGUGCGCAGGCGGUCUUAUAAGUCAGAUGUGAAAUCCCCGAGCUCAACUUGGGAACUGCGUUUGAAACUGUAAGACUAGAGUGUGUCAGAGGGAGGUAGAAUUCCACGUGUAGCAGUGAAAUGCGUAGAGAUGUGGAGGAAUACCAAUGGCGUAGGCAGCCUCCUGGGAUAACACUGACGCUCAUGCACGAAAGCGUGGGGAGCAAACAGGAUUAGAUACCCUGGUAG
RNAcentral lists this ribosomal RNA (719 nucleotides) under uncultured Methylophilaceae bacterium. Its description in RNAcentral is "bacterial SSU rRNA". It matches the Rfam family "Bacterial small subunit ribosomal RNA", at positions 80 to 793 of the family's 1533-position model. Lineage: Bacteria; Pseudomonadati; Pseudomonadota; Betaproteobacteria; Nitrosomonadales; Methylophilaceae. The record is from RNAcentral.